Long non-coding RNA from Oncorhynchus keta (chum salmon), 4696 nucleotides. RefSeq lists it as uncharacterized. Lineage: Eukaryota; Metazoa; Chordata; Actinopteri; Salmoniformes; Salmonidae. The record is from RefSeq and is a predicted model, not a curated record. The transcript has 5 exons.
UAGACAAUCCCUGACCUGGUCAGGUGUGGUGAAUAUAGACAAUCCCUGACCUGGUCAGGUGUGGUGAAUAUAGACAAUCCCUGACCUGGUCAGGUGUGGUGAAUAUAGACAAUCCCUGACCUGGUCAGGUGUGGUGAAUAUAGACAAUCCCUGACCUGGUCAGGUGUGGUGACUAUAGACAAUCCCUGACCUGGUCAGGUGUGGUGACUAUAGACAAUCCCUGACCUGGUCAGGUGGUCAGGUGUGGUGAAUAUAGACAAUCCCUGACCUGAUCAGGUGUGGUGAAUAUAGACAAUCCCUGACCUGGUCAGGUGUGGUGAAUAUAGACAAUCCCAGACCUGGUCAGGUGUGGUGAAUAUAGACAAUCCCUGACCUGGUCAGGUGUGGUGAAUAUAGACAAUCCCUGACCUGGUCAGGUGUGGUGAAUAUAGACAAUCCCUGACCUGGUCAGGUGUGGUGAAUAUAGACAAUCCCUGACCUGGUCAGGUGUGGUGAAUAUAGACAAUCCCUGACCUGGUCAGGUGUGGUGACUAUAGACAAUCCCUGACCUGGUCAGGUGUGGUGACUAUAGACAAUCCCUGACCUGGUCAGGUGUGGUGAAUAUAGACAAUACCUGACCUGGUCAGGUGUGGUGACUAUAGACAAUCCCUGACCUGGUCAGGUGUGGUGACUAUAGACAAUCCCUGACCUGAUCAGGUGGUCAGGUGUGGUGAAUAUAGACAAUCCCUGACCUGGUCAGGUGUGGUGAAUAUAGACAAUCCCUGACCUGGUCAGGUGUGGUGAAUAUAGACAAUCCCUGACCUGGUCAGGUGUGGUGAAUAUAGACAAUCCCUGACCUGGUCAGGUGGUCAGGUGUGGUGAAUAUAGACAAUCCCUGACCUGGUCAGGUGUGGUGAAUAUAGACAGUCCCUGACCUGGUCAGGUGUGGUGAAUAUAGACAAUCCCUGACCUGGUCAGGUGUGGUGAAUAUAGAAAAUCCCUGACCUGGUCAGGUGUGGUGAAUAUAGACAAUCCCUGACCUGGUCAGGUGUGGUGAAUAUAGACAAUCCCUGACCUGGUCAGGUGUGGUGACUAUAGACAAUCCCUGACCUGGUCAGGUGUGGUGAAUAUAGACAAUCCCUGACCUGGUCAGGUGUGGUGAAUAUAGACAAUCCCUGACCUGGUCAGGUGUGGUGAAUAUAGACAAUCCCUGACCUGGUCAGGUGUGGUGAAUAUAGACAAUCCCUGACCUGGUCAGGUGGUCAGGUGUGGUGAAUAUAGACAAUCCCUGACCUGGUCAGGUGUGGUGAAUAUAGACAAUCCCUGACCUGAUCAGGUGUGGUGAAUAUAGACAAUCCCUGACCUGGUCAGGUGUGGUGAAUAUAGACAAUCCCUGACCUGGUCAGGUGUGGUGAAUAUAGACAAUCCCUGACCUGGUCAGGUGUGGUGAAUAUAGACAAUCCCUGACCUGGUCAGGUGUGGUGAAUAUAGACAAUCCCUGACCUGGUCAGGUGUGGUGAAUAUAGACAAUCCCUGACCUGGUCAGGUGUGGUGAAUAUAGACAAUCCCUGACCUGGUCAGGUGUGGUGACUAUAGAAAAUCCCUGACCUGGUCAGGUGUGGUGAAUAUAGACAAUCCCUGACCUGGUCAGGUGGUCAGGUGUGGUGAAUAUAGACAAUCCCUGACCUGGUCAGGUGUGGUGAAUAUAGACAAUCCCUGACCUGGUCAGGUGUGGUGAAUAUAGACAAUCCCUGACCUGGUCAGGUGUGGUGAAUAUAGAAAAUCCCUGACCUGGUCAGGUGUGGUGAAUAUAGACAAUCCCUGACCUGGUCAGGUGUGGUGAAUAUAGACAAUCCCUGACCUGGUCAGGUGUGGUGAAUAUAGACAAUCCCUGACCUGGUCAGGUGUGGUGAAUAUAGACAAUCCCUGACCUGGUCAGGUGUGGUGAAUAUAGACAAUCCCUGACCUGGUCAGGUGUGGUGAAUAUAGACAAUCCCUGACCUGGUCAGGUGUGGUGAAUAUAGACAAUCCCUGACCUGGUCAGGUGUGGUGAAUAUAGACAAUCCCUGACCUGGUCAGGUGUGGUGACUAUAGACAAUCCCUGACCUGGUCAGGUGUGGUGAAUAUAGACAAUCCCUGACCUGGUCAGGUGUGGUGAAUAUAGACAAUCCCUGACCUGGUCAGGUGUGGUGACUAUAGACAAUCCCUGACCUGGUCAGGUGUGAUGACUAUAGACAAUCCCUGACCUGGUCAGGUGUGGUGACUAUAGACAAUCCCUGACCUGGUCAGGUGUGGUGAAUAUAGACAAUCCCUGACCUGGUCAGGUGUGGUGAAUAUAGACUAUCCCUGACCUGGUCAGGUGUGGUGAAUAUAGACUAUCCCUGACCUGGUCAGGUGUGGUGAAUAUAGACAAUCCCUGACCUGGUCAGGUGUGGUGACUAUAGACAAUCCCUGACCUGGUCAGGUGUGGUGAAUAUAGACAAUCCCUGACCUGGUCAGGUGUGGUGAAUAUAGACAAUCCCUGACCUGGUCAGGUGUGGUGACUAUAGACAAUCCCUGACCUGGUCAGGUGUGGUGACUAUAGACAAUCCCUGACCUGGUCAGGUGUGGUGAAUAUAGACAAUCCCUGACCUGGUCAGGUGUGGUGAAUAUAGACAAUCCCUGACCUGGUCAGGUGUGGUGAAUAUAGACAAUCCCUGACCUGGUCAGGUGGUCAGGUGUGGUGAAUAUAGACAAUCCCUGACCUGGUCAGGUGUGGUGAAUAUAGACAGUCCCUGACCUGGUCAGGUGUGGUGAAUAUAGACAAUCCCUGACCUGGUCAGGUGUGGUGAAUAUAGACAAUCCCUGACCUGGUCAGGUGUGGUGAAUAUAGACAAUCCCUGACCUGGUCAGGUGGUCAGGUGUGGUGAAUAUAGACAAUCCCUGACCUGGUCAGGUGUGGUGAAUAUAGAAAAUCCCUGACCUGGUCAGGUGUGGUGAAUAUAGACAAUCCCUGACCUGGUCAGGUGUGGUGAAUAUAGAAAAUCCCUGACCUGGUCAGGUGUGGUGACUAUAGACAAUCCCUGACCUGGUCAGGUGGUCAGGUGUGGUGACUAUAGACAAUCCCUGACCUGGUCAGGUGUGGUGACUAUAGACAAUCCCUGACCUGGUCAGGUGGUCAGGUGUGGUGACUAUAGACAAUCCCUGACCUGGUCAGGUGGUCAGGUGUGGUGAAUAUAGACAAUCCCUGACCUGGUCAGGUGUGGUGAAUAUAGACAAUCCCUGACCUGGUCAGGUGUGGUGAAUAUAGACAAUUCCUGACCUGGUCAGGUGUGGUGAAUAUAGACAAUACCUGACCUGGUCAGGUGUGGUGGAUAUAGACAAUCCCUGACCUGGUCAGGUGUGGUGACUAUAGACAAUCCCUGACCUGAUCAGGUGGUCAGGUGUGGUGAAUAUAGACAAUCCCUGACCUGGUCAGGUGUGGUGAAUAUAGACAAUCCCUGACCUGGUCAGGUGUGGUGAAUAUAGACAAUCCCUGACCUGGUCAGGUGUGGUGAAUAUAGACAAUUCCUGACCUGGUCAGGUGUGGUGAAUAUAGACAAUACCUGACCUGGUCAGGUGUGGUGAAUAUAGACAAUCCCUGACCUGGUCAGGUGUGGUGACUAUAGACAAUCCCUGACCUGAUCAGGUGGUCAGGUGUGGUGAAUAUAGACAAUCCCUGACCUGGUCAGGUGUGGUGAAUAUAGACAAUCCCUGACCUGGUCAGGUGUGGUGAAUAUAGACAAUCCCUGACCUGGUCAGGUGUGGUGACUAUAGACAAUCCCUGACCUGGUCAGGUGUGGUGAAUAUAGACAAUCCCUGACCUGGUCAGGUGUGGUGAAUAUAGACAAUCCCUGACCUGGUCAGGUGUGGUGACUAUAGACAAUCCCUGACCUGGUCAGGUGUGGUGACUAUAGACAAUCCCUGACCUGGUCAGGUGUGGUGAAUAUAGACAAUCCCUGACCUGGUCAGGUGUGGUGAAUAUAGACAAUCCCUGACCUGGUCAGGUGUGGUGACUAUAGACAAUCCCUGACCUGAUCAGGUGGUCAGGUGUGGAGAAUAUAGACAAUCCCUGACCUGGUCAGGUGUGGUGAAUAUAGACAAUCCCUGACCUGGUCAGGUGUGGUGAAUAUAGACAAUCCCUGACCUGGUCAGGUGUGGUGACUAUAGACAAUCCCUGACCUGGUCAGGUGUGGUGAAUAUAGACAAUCCCUGACCUGGUCAGGUGUGGUGAAUAUAGACAAUCCCUGACCUGGUCAGGUGUGGUGACUAUAGACAAUCCCUGACCUGGUCAGGUGUGGUGACUAUAGACAAUCCCUGACCUGGUCAGGUGUGGUGACUAUAGACAAUCCCUGACCUGGUCAGGUGUGGUGAAUAUAGACAAUCCCUGACCUGGUCAGGUGUGGUGAAUAUAGACAAUCCCUGACCUGGUCAGGUGUGGUGAAUAUAGACAAUCCCUGACCUGGUCAGGUGUGGUGAAUAUAGACAAUCCCUGACCUGGUCAGGUGUGGUGAAUAUAGACAAUCCCUGACCUGGUCAGGUGUGGUGAAUAUAGACAAUCCCUGACCUGGUCAGGUGUGGUGAAUAUAGACAAUCCCUGACCUGGUCAGGUGUGGUGACUAUAGACAAUCCCUGACCUGGUCAGGUGUGGUGACUAUAGACAAUCCCUGACCUGGUCAGGUGUGGUGAAUAUAGACAA